CAGCAGCCGCGGUAAUACCGGCGGCCCUAGUGGCGGCCACUAUUAUUGGGCUUAAAGCGUCCGUAGCCGGGUUGGUUAGUCUCCCGGGAAAUCUGGCCGCUUAACGGUCAGAAUUCCGGGAGAUACUGCCAGCCUAGGGACCGGGAGAGGCCGAGGGUAUUCCCGGAGUAGGGGUGAAAUCCUAUAAUCCCGGGAGGACCACCUGUGGCGAAGGCGCUCGGCUGGAACGGGUCCGACGGUGAGGGACGAAGGCCAGGGGAGCAAACCGGAUUAGAUACCCGGGUAGUCCUGGCGGUAAACGAUGCGGACUUUGUGUCGGACAAGCUAUGAGCUUGUCCGGUGCCGGAGGGAAACCGUUAAGUCCGCCGCCUGGGGAGUACGGCCGCAAGGCUGAAACUUAAAGGAAUUGGCGGG
Molecule: ribosomal RNA, 414 nt
Filed under: uncultured microorganism
Description: bacterial SSU rRNA
Rfam family: Archaeal small subunit ribosomal RNA
Source: RNAcentral